GAUGAACGCUGGCGGCGUGCCUAAUACAUGCAAGUCGAGCGAACAGACGAGGAGCUUGCUCCUCUGACGUUAGCGGCGGACGGGUGAGUAACACGUGGAUAACCUACCUAUAAGACUGGGAUAACUUCGGGAAACCGGAGCUAAUACCGGAUAAUAUAUUGAACCGCAUGGUUCAAUAGUGAAAGACGGUUUUGCUGUCACUUAUAGAUGGAUCCGCGCCGCAUUAGCUAGUUGGUAAGGUAACGGCUUACCAAGGCAACGAUGCGUAGCCGACGUGAGAGGGGGAUAGGCCACACUGGAACGGAGACACGGUCCAGACUCCUGCGGGAGGCAGCAGUAGGGAAUCUUCCGCAAUGGGCGAAAGCUUGACGGAGCAACGCCGCGUGAGUGAUGAAGGUCUUCGGAUCGUAAAGCUCUGUUAUUAGGGAAGAACAAAUGUGUAAGUAACUAUGCACGUCUUGACGGUACCUAAUCAGAAAGCCACGGCUAACUACGUG
Molecule: ribosomal RNA, 497 nt
Filed under: uncultured bacterium
Lineage: Bacteria
Description: partial 16S ribosomal RNA
Rfam family: Bacterial small subunit ribosomal RNA
Source: RNAcentral